Long non-coding RNA from Prionailurus viverrinus (fishing cat), 556 nucleotides. RefSeq lists it as uncharacterized. Lineage: Eukaryota; Metazoa; Chordata; Mammalia; Carnivora; Felidae. The record is from RefSeq and is a predicted model, not a curated record. The transcript is spliced from 4 exons.
UAGGCAGACAAGUACAUCUGUGUGAGGGAUUCCCGGGUUCAAAUAUUUUCUGCUCCUCUCACAUAUGGACCUUUGUCAAGAAUAGCUGCCCUGAACUUCUCCAGCAGAUGGAAGGCAUGCAGUGGACCUGAGGACAGAAUGUAAUGAUGCUCAUCGGUACAUAAUGAAGCACAUUUGAAGAGCUGACAUCCUGAGUUGUUAUGGAGGAGGUGUCCAAUAAGUUGCAAUGAUUUCACAGGAUUAUACAGUUGAAAGGACUCACAAGAUUGCGUAGACCAUACUUAGUAGUGCUUUAAUUAAGGUAGAGGAUACAGUAAAGCUGGAGAAAGCAGAGGCAAGCGUCAAAGGCCCAGGAUACACCCAGAUGGAACUCUCCUUAACCACACAAAAGGUGAUUGGUGAUGUCAUUCAAAUUCAACUACCAUCUACAUGAUGACAGCUCCUACAUGUACAUCCUUAUCCAAGUUAUCUCCUCUUAACUCUGGAUUUACAUACUCAAUUGUUACUGUAUAUUUCCACUUAGGUGCCUGUAAUACACUUUUCACCAUUAAAGUGU